ACGGGUGAGUAACACGUGGGUAACCUGCCUGUAAGACUGGGAUAACUCCGGGAAACCGGGGCUAAUACCGGAUGGUUGUCUGAACCGCAUGGUUCAGACAUAAAAGGUGGCUUCGGCUACCACUUACAGAUGGACCCGCGGCGCAUUAGCUAGUUGGUGAGGUAACGGCUCACCAAGGCAACGAUGCGUAGCCGACCUGAGAGGGUGAUCGGCCACACUGGGACUGAGACACGGCCCAGACUCCUACGGGAGGCAGCAGUAGGGAAUCUUCCGCAAUGGACGAAAGUCUGACGGAGCAACGCCGCGUGAGUGAUGAAGGUUUUCGGAUCGUAAAGCUCUGUUGUUAGGGAAGAACAAGUGCCGUUCAAAUAGGGCGGCACCUUGACGGUACCUAACCAGAAAGCCACGGCUAACUACGUGCCAGCAGCCGCGGUAAUACGUAGGUGGCAAGCGUUGUCCGGAAUUAUUGGGCGUAAAGGGCUCGCAGGCGGUUUCUUAAGUCUGAUGUGAAAGCCCCCGGCUCAACCGGGGAGGGU
Molecule: ribosomal RNA, 536 nt
Filed under: Enterobacter hormaechei
Lineage: Bacteria; Pseudomonadati; Pseudomonadota; Gammaproteobacteria; Enterobacterales; Enterobacteriaceae
Description: bacterial SSU rRNA
Rfam family: Bacterial small subunit ribosomal RNA
Source: RNAcentral